RNAcentral lists this ribosomal RNA (497 nucleotides) under uncultured bacterium. RNAcentral's name for it is "partial 16S ribosomal RNA". It matches the Rfam family "Bacterial small subunit ribosomal RNA", at positions 28 to 507 of the family's 1533-position model. The record is from RNAcentral.
GAUGAACGCUGGCGGCGUGCCUAAUACAUGCAAGUCGAGCGAACAGACGAGGAGCUUGCUCCUCUGACGUUAGCGGCGGACGGGUGAGUAACACGUGGAUAACCUACCUAUAAGACUGGGAUAACUUCGGGAAACCGGAGCUAAUACCGGAUAAUAUAUUGAACCGCAUGGUUCAAUAGUGAAAGACGGUUUUGCUGUCACUUAUAGAUGGAUCCGCGCCGCAUUAGCUAGUUGGUAAGGUAACGGCUUACCAAGGCAACGAUGCGUAGCCGACCUGAGAGGGUGAUCGGCCACCCUGGAACUGAGACACGGUCCAGACUCCUCCGGGAGGCAGCAGUAGGGAAUCUUCCGCAAUGGGCGAAAGCCUGACGGAGCACCGCGGCGUGAGUGAUGAAGGUCUUCGGAUCGUAAACCCCUGUUAUUAGGGAAGAACAAAUGUGUAAGUAACUAUGCACGUCUUGACGGUACCUAAUCAGAAAGCCACGGCUAACUACGUG